GACGAACGCUGGCGGCGUGCUUAACACAUGCAAGUCGAACGGAAAGGCCCUGCUUUUGUGGGGUGCUCGAGUGGCGAACGGGUGAGUAACACGUGAGUAACCUGCCCUUGACUUUGGGAUAACUUCAGGAAACUGCGGCUAAUACCGGGUAGGAGCUCCUGCUGCAUGGGGGGGGUUGGAAAGUUCCGGCGGUUGGGGAUGGACUCGCGGCUUAUCAGCUUGUUGGUGUGGUAGUGGCUUACCAAGGCUUUGACGGGUAGCCGGCCUGAGAGGGUGACCGGCCACAAUGGGACUGAGAUACGGCGCAGACUCCUACGGGACGCAGUAGUGGAGAAUAUGGCAGAAUGGGCGGAAGCCUGAUGCAGCAACGCCGCGUGCGGGAUGACGGGCUUCGGGUUGUAAACCGCUUUCGCCUGUGACGAAGCGUGAGUGACGGUAAUGGGUAAAGAAGCACCGGCUAACUACGUG
RNAcentral lists this ribosomal RNA (468 nucleotides) under uncultured bacterium. RNAcentral describes it as "partial 16S ribosomal RNA". It matches the Rfam family "Bacterial small subunit ribosomal RNA", at positions 28 to 507 of the family's 1533-position model. The record is from RNAcentral.